Molecule: long non-coding RNA, 333 nt
Organism: Morone saxatilis (striped sea-bass)
Lineage: Eukaryota; Metazoa; Chordata; Actinopteri; Moronidae
Exons: 3
Source: RefSeq, a predicted model, not a curated record
ACAAGACAACAGCUGCUACCACGGUGCUUGAGAGAUUUCAGGAUGAUGACUCCAGCUGUGGUAAUUGUCUUGGCUGUUUUAGGACAGACAAGUGGCCAUUUUGAUACAAAUAUUGCUAGAGGUGGAAAAGUCACUCAGUCCUCCCUGUAUGGGAAUGCUGUCCCAGAAAGGGCCAUUGAUGGAAAUCGUGCUAGCAACUGGGUACAGGGAUCCUGUACCCACACUCAGCAAGAUAACAGUCCAUGGUGGAGACUGGACCUCUCCUGAAGACCUAUACAAAUCAACACUGUCACCAUCACCAACAGGAAAAAGAUUGUUGCUCGGAAAGGAUCA